UACUGGAAGUCCUAGCCAGAGAAAUUAGCCAAGAAAAAUAAAAGGCAUGCAAAUUAUAAAGGAAGAAUUAAAACUAUCUCUACAGAUGACAUGAUUCUAUAUAUAGAAAAUCCUAAAAUAUCCACAGAAAAAUCUAGAGCAAUAAAUUAAGUAAAAUUACAGGACAUAGGACCAGCACACAAAAAUUAGUUAUAAUUAAUAAUCCAAAAAUGAACUUUAAAAAUCCUAUUUAUAAUAGCAUCCAAAACAAUAACAUACAUAGGAAUAAAUUUAACCUCUAAAUAGAGGGAAAGAUUUGUAUACUGAAAACUAUAAAACAUUGCGAACAAUAUUAAAACCACAAUUAAAUGGAAAGACAUUCCAGUUUUGAUUGGAAAACGCAAUAGUGUCAUAUUAGUGUACUAGGUUUGCCAUAACAAAAUACUGCAGAUUGGAUGGCUUAAACAACAGAAAGUUAUUUCUCAUAGUUCUGGAAACUGGGUAAUCAAGAUCAAGGUGUCGGCAGAUGAGAGGCUUUCUCCUUGACCUGCAGAUGGCCAUUUUCUUGCUGUGCCCUCACAUGGCCUUUUCUCUGCAUGUGCAUAUUCCUGGUAUUUCUUCCUCUUCAUAAAGAACACAGCUCCUACUAAGAGUCCCAUUCUUAAGGCAUCAUUUAACCUUAAUUGACUCCUUUAGAAUGCUAUCUCUAAAUAUAUUCACACUGUGAGUCAGGGCUUCAACAUAAGAGUUGUUGGGACACAAUUCAGUCCAUAACAACUGGUAAGAUGGCAGUAGUCUGAAAAGCAAUCUAUAGAUUCAAUGCAAUCUCCAUCAGAAUUCUAAUAGUCCUUUUUUUUUUUUUUUUUUUUUUUUUACUUUUGCAGAUUGCAAAACCCGACCCUCAAAUUCAUAUGAAAUUUCAAGGGGCCCAAAUAAUCAAAACAACAUUGAAAAAGGAAAACAAAGUUUGAAGACUCAAACACCCCAAUUUGAUCCAUGAGGACACAGGUUUGAUCCCUGGCCUUGCUCAGUGGGUUAGGGAUCUGGCGUUGCCAUGAGCUGUGUUGUAGGUCACAGACAUGGCUCAGAUCUGGCCUUGCUGUGGUGUAGGCCACUGGCUACAGCUGAUUCAACCCAUAGCCAGGGGACUUCCAUAUGCCACGGGUAUGGCAAAAAACCCCCAAACAGCUAAGUAAGUGAAGAGACAUAUUGUGCUUAUGGAUUGGUAAAAAUUUCAAUUUUUUCCCAAAUGAUAUAAAAGUAUGUAAUGCAAUUCUAUCAAAAUCUAAGCAGGACUUUUGAAAAAACAGGCUGACUCAAAGUUAUAUGUAAA
This 1312-nucleotide long non-coding RNA is filed under the name Sus scrofa (pig). RNAcentral describes it as "lncRNA (ENSSSCG00035024531.1)". The record is from RNAcentral. Lineage: Eukaryota; Metazoa; Chordata; Mammalia; Artiodactyla; Suidae.